This 368-nucleotide unclassified non-coding RNA is filed under the name uncultured Bacillota bacterium. RNAcentral describes it as "uncultured Firmicutes bacterium contains 16S-23S intergenic spacer region". Lineage: Bacteria; Bacillati; Bacillota. The record is from RNAcentral.
UCCGGUUUGUCACCGGCAGUCUCAUUAGAGUGCCCUUUCGUAGCAACUAAAGACGAGGGUUGCGCUCGUUGCGGGACUUAACCCAACAUCUCACGACACGAGCUGACGACAACCAUGCACCACCUGUCACUCUGCCCCCGAAGGGGACGUCCUAUCUCUAGGAUUGUCAGAGGAUGUCAAGACCUGGUAAGGUUCUUCGCGUUGCAUCGAAUUAAGCCACAUGCUCCACCGCUUGUGCGGGCCCCCGCCAAUUCCUUUGAGUUUCAACCUUGCGGCCGUAGUCCCCAGGCGGUUCACUUAAUGCGUUAGCUGCGGCACUGAGGGAGAACCCCCAACACCUAGUGAACACAGUUUAGGGCCAAGACUAC